CUGGUUUCUAUAAGAAAGAGGGUUUCAAGUUCUACUCUAUUAAGGUCCAUGAAGACUUGUGUUCGAUUCUGAAUAUCCAUUCCAGACAGAUCAACCUAUAUCAAUGAGCAAGUGUAAUAUUCAUUCACUACAUGUUGAGGACAGGUGAACAGAAUUCCUCUGUCAAAUUUCUUCCACAGUGAUAUAAUUGGCUAGCACUUCAAAGAAACUGAGGAGCCCUCAUGAACAAAUUGUCCAACAGUCAAACACCUUGUAAAGUUACCAAGUCAGAUGAAGACUGUUAAUUAAUGGAAACUUGCAAUACCAGCCUUUAUGCAUUAUGAGAUUACUAAAUAUAAUACCUGGUGAUAUAGCAUCUUUUCUUAUUGUUCACUCUGAUAAAAAUGUUGGAGAAAUGUAUUAGAAAUGAUUGGUAUAUUAAAAUAUAUGAUUCAAGGUAUUUCUAUUUAAAAAGGGACAAAAAAAUUGGAAACAAGUGAUAAUAUACAAUAAAAACAAGACGCUUAAACUUGUGGUUCUGGAACUGGGUUCUGAUUUACCCAGAUUCUUUUAGGAUUCAGCUUCAAAAUUAAUUGUUUUUCAUGUUUAUUUCUAUACUAGAACCUGACCUUAGAUUGACUCCAUUUUUGUUUUUAUGAUAAAUUAAGGCUAUCGGUGGUGGUUACAAUAGCCAAACAAAGUUGGGAUUAAAAUGACUUUUUGAUAAACAUAUGGAUGGUGAUUGGUGAAGUAAUUAGCUGUAAAUGUUUUAGAUGGAGAGAAUGGGUGUUUAAUGGAGAGAAUGGGUGUUUUUUUUUUUAAAUCUACUUAUUACUACUUUUGGAAUUUUUCUUCUCAGUCCUCUGAAGAAAUCCAUUUCUUUUUCAGAAUCCUCUGAAAAAUAUAUAUACUAUUUCGCCUGGGACAAAAUCCUUCUUGACUUUGUAAGCUAUCAAGAUAUCAUUGGUUGAUUGAUUAUGUGUCAUCCAGUCGUUUUCCACUUCUAGCAAAUACAUAGAUCCCCCCCCCCAAUGAUCUAUCCCUAACUUGUCAGGUCUGACAAUGGUGUAUCCAUCGCCACUGUAAGAGACUCCACUCACCUUGCUGCUGCUUAUCCUCUUCUUCUCUGUCUUUCCAUCUUUCUCAGCAUUAGAGUUAUUUCACAUAAUAUGUACAAAUCAAGAGCUUGUUACAAAUUAUGAAAUGUUAAAUUAAAAUAUAAGUAUCUAUUAAUGCAAAAAUAUUAAGGUUAGGUGGAUUCAGUUAAAUAUUAAUUGUCUUCACUAGGGAUUUAUGUUUCAACUUUCUUGGUUUAUUUAGGACAUGUUGCUUAAUUUUAAUUAUGUGCCCUGCUGAGCUUGAGUAGUGUCAUUCUAUUGUCACCAGUAUGCUGUAUUUCUGCCACCACUUACCUACUUACUUACUUCUGGGUCCCAUAAUAUUGCUGUAGCCAUCACUAUGGACACAACUCUGAAUUCAUAGGAAUCCAAACACAUGCUCAGAGGUAUGUAUCAAAGCAGUUUUCAGACUUCAGCUUAUGCCAAAUUGAUGUUUAUAUGUGAGGAUUCACUCCAAGUUAAAAAAAAAAAAAAGCUUCUCACAUGAGUGUCCUUAGGUAUGCUUACUUGCUGGAGUAAUCCAGAAGACCUACCGUAGGCAAUAUGCCAAACUAGUAUCAGAGCGUUCUACUUUCUUACACAUAUUAUAUCUGCAGAAAGAAAGUUCUGAAUUUCAUAUUGAUUUCUGGCUAGUAAUUGAACUGAAACCCUACAGCUUUCCUGGCAAGAUGCUUUUUGGUGCACUGUGGUUUGGGGGUUGCUUUCCUUCCACCCCCAUAGCACAAAGGCCAGCUCUAGCCUGGCACGAAAGGGACUUUUUGGUGCACUCUGACUCUGGGGCUGUUUUUUUGCUUCUUCUUCAUUUUCGUCACAUGAAACAGCCCCAGCUUGACCCAGCAGCCAGACCUGACACAUCUUGUCAUCCAUGGAGAUGGAUGUAAUUUCAGGCAUUGGUCAUAAAUUAGUUCGUUCAGUGCAACCAUAACUUUAAGCAGUCACUGAAUGAAUGGUCUUAAGUCAAAGAUUACCUGAAUAUAUUUUAUUGUGCUUUAAACUGAUUGUUGCAACUACUAAUCUGAUGUGGUGGUGAAUUAUAUGUAGGUGUAUUCCUGAAGUUUGAACUGUAAGAGCAACAAGGAAUUAUUUGAAAAGUAGUAAUUUGCCUUUUCAGGACACACAAUAUUGACAAGUGAUGUAAAGAAGCAUAACUCUUUACUGCUUUAAAUUUUCCAAAUGUUCUUUGAAACUGUCAGCUAAUAUAACGUUAGCGACACUUUGAAGACAAUUUUGAUUUUUUUUUUUCAAGUAACAGAGUAGUAUGCCUAAGCUGCCAGGCCAUUGUUCUUUUCUUUUAGAAAUGCAAAACAAACUGUAGCAACUAAUCACACUACAUAACACUUAACAUAAAGUUCCCCACUGAACACACACAUGAAUUAUGGCUGAAUGCAUGUGAUGCAGUGUUACUUGUGAAACAGUUUCCUUUACAUCACAGGAGAACACAAAUAAAAUAAACCACCUACAUGUUUCUUCCUCCAGGUAUGUAGGAAGUCAUAGUUCCAGUUCAUAGGAGCGGAUCUGAAUACAGUAAGUUUUUCAACAAAGGAAUUCCUUCCAAAGAAAGAAGCAGAAUAAGAUUGAUGGAUUAGAAUGUAAGUUCGUCUGGGAGGAAAUUGAGACAAUAGUUUUGUUGUCCUACCAUCACCAUUAAUUAAUACAGCAGCAAGGAACUUUAAACCAGUCUUUGUGAAGAGAGUUCUCUAGUUUGAUGUUUUUGCUUCAUAACAGGUGCAGAGACAUCAGAAAACAGGCAGACAGGUGCACCUGCAAUCCAUGCAUUUAGGUGAAGCAGCCAGACUAGAAGUUCCAAUCACUAGUCUAGUUUGGUUCAAAUCCCAAAUUCUCAUUCUACUUUAAGAGAAAUGGUAGAAUGAGCAAAUGCAGAGAAAGUAAAAGAGCCAGCAAGUGUAUAAUAAUGUAAAUUAAAUGGUUUAAAAAGAGAUGGAUGAAGAGAAGUGAGAAUUUGUCCUUCCAGCUGUUAAAUAGUUUUGGAGCCACCUUGGACAACAGUAUUGGUUGCUUGCAGCUAUUUUGAUUCCAGCUUCUCACUUUUUGCUAAGGCUACCCUCACAGUCAUGAAUGAUUAUUGAUAUUUUUAUCCUCUUUUCAUCCCCUGCAUUAUACCGGCUCAUUUCCUUUCAAAAUUUCAUGGGAGGUUUUAAACCAACUUUCCUCACUCUGGUGUUCUCCAGAUGCAUUGAUCUACGCCUUCUAACAUCCAUGGCCAAUGGCAUUAUUCUUCAGGCUGAUGGAAGUUGCAGUUCAACACAACUGGGAGGUUGCAUUGUUAUUUUUUUCCUGUUUAGGAAAAUAAAAUCACAACACACCUGUGGGAAGAUAAGGACCCAAAAAGGUACACCUGGGAAGCUGCUGAGGAAUUCUGAGAGUUGAAGUCCACACGUCAUAAAAGGGCCAGGUUUGAAGACCCCUGGACUAUAUAAUGGAAGAUACCAGAUGACUAAAAUUAGUAAAAGAAAUUAUUAAAUCCAGAUGCUUACAACAUUGGAGACUCCCUUCCUAUUCAGCUGUGGGCCUUCUUUGCACAAUGUUCCCAAAAUAGGAUAAUUUGAGCUAGGUCCCUCAGCAAUGUUUGGAGGAACUGUGUAAGAUACACCAAAAGAUACAACCACGGAACCAUGGAACUUGUGUACCCAAACUUACAUGAAUGAGAUCUUAUCAUCAGGGCCACCACUUCAUGUAUCUCCUCUUAGAUAAGUAGUACAAUUGCAAUAAUUUACUACAUUCCUAGAUAUAAUAAUAAACUGAAUUGAGAUUGCCUCAAAGAAGAUUUAUAUAAUAUUGCAUGAGUUUAAAACUAGUCUCAGUUACCAACUCAUUAGAUGGAUUUCCACAUCAGUUUCCUUUCUAGAAGAAAUAUUGCAAGAGUUAUGCUGUGUUUCAUUAAAAGUGCCAGGCUAGAAACCAAGAGACGGGGAGUUCUUAGGCACGAAGGCCCAUCCACUUCACAGGGUUAUUGUUGUGAUGAUAAUAGGAAGAGGAAAGAGAGUUAGGCAUUCACUACCUAGUUAUAAAAAAAAUAAUGAAAUUGGGAUUAUAAAUAAAAUAAAAUAAAUAAAACAAAAAUAAAAUAAAAUAAUAAAUAGUUAUGCACUUAUGAGACGACUUGCCUUGUCCCAGCUCUAGUCAGUUUAGGAAGAGGAAAUUGAAGAUACAAGUCAAGUCCCAUGCAAUAGACGAACUGGCUAUUUCUGCAUAGAAUUAGCCAGAUGAAGUUAUGAAAGGGGUUUUAUAUCAACCAUUUCUGUUUCAGCCCACCUUAGUACCUUCAUUUGCACCAUAACAAUGUUUUCUUUUUAGCUUUCAGAGUUGGCAUCAGCGCUAUUGGCUGACAUAAUGUGUAAGGUGUAAUUGGUAUAAAUGCUACCAUGUGCAUGGUGUGGUACUGCCCACCCAAUGGAAUUAUUUCAGAUGUACAAACUGUACCACACCUGAGUGACUCUACAGUUUAUCAAUGUACAUAAUGGGGGUUUGCAAUUUCAAGAAUUUCUUUGUAUGCCAACGUCUCCUGAGUUUGUGCUUUCUCUGCUGCACUCUAGAUGGCAUUAUGAUGCUGAAACCAGUGACCUACCGCAGAUUAUAAUCUUUCUGGGAGAGUAUAAUAGGUGCCCUCUUUAUAAAAUGUGACUGCCACUUGAACCUUCUGCAAAAUACUAUUUUUCUUCUUGUUGGCUCUGCAUUUGAGAAAAAAGCUUGAAAUAAGAACAGCUUGAGAAGAUAGCUGACUGAUAAAUGGAUUGCUACUGAGAGUACACAGUGGUAAAACAGAUGAGCUUCUAUCUUUCCUUGCUUUUUUUUAAAUGAUAAAAACCAUAUCUUAGUGAACCUUGUAAUAAUUAGGGAAAAGAGCCGAGGUGGUGCAGCAGUUAGAGUGCAGUACUGCAGGCCACUUUAGCUGACUGUGUUCAGCAGGUCAGCGGUUCAAAUCUCACCGGCUCAAGGUUGACUCAGCCUUCCAU
This is a long non-coding RNA of Crotalus tigris (Tiger rattlesnake), 5071 nucleotides long. RefSeq lists it as uncharacterized. The record is from RefSeq and is a predicted model, not a curated record. The transcript is spliced from 5 exons. NCBI's taxonomy places the organism in Eukaryota, Metazoa, Chordata, Lepidosauria, Squamata, Viperidae.